AUUGAACGCUGGCGGCAUGCCUUACACAUGCAAGUCGAACGCGAAAGUGGGGGCAACCCUGCGAGUAGAGUGGCGAACGGGUGAGUAAUACAUCGGAACGUACCCAGGAGUGGGGGACAACCUCGAGAAAUCGAGGCUAAUACCGCAUACGUCCUGGGGGAGAAAGCGGGGGAUCUGCAAGGACCUCGCGCUCAUGGAGCGGCCGAUGUCGGAUUAGCUAGUUGGCGGGGUAAAGGCCCACCAAGGCGACGAUCCGUAGCUGGUUUGAGAGAACGACCAGCCACACUGGGACUGAGACACGGCCCAGCAUCCUACGGGAGGCAGCAGUGGGGAAUUUUGGACAAUGGGCGAAAGCCUGAUCCAGCCAUGCCGCGUGAGUGAAGAAGGCCUUCGGGUUGUAAAGCUCUUUCGGCCGGAACGAAAUCGGGUGCGUGAAUAACGUAUCUGGAUGACGGUACUGGAAGAAGAAGCACCGGCUAACUACGUGCCAGCCGCCGCAGUAA
RNAcentral lists this ribosomal RNA (503 nucleotides) under uncultured bacterium. RNAcentral's name for it is "partial 16S ribosomal RNA". It matches the Rfam family "Bacterial small subunit ribosomal RNA", at positions 29 to 523 of the family's 1533-position model. The record is from RNAcentral.